GCAUUGCUUGCUGUUUGGGGGUUUUAGGCUGGGUUUCUGUACAGCACUUUGAAAUAUCAGCUGAUGUAAGAAGGGCUUUAUAAAUACAUUUGAAGAACAGAACUACAUUGUUGUUUUAAAGGCACACCGUAGCCUACAUUAAAUAUUGAAGAUGGGGCCAGAGAGGAUGGCUGCAGUUUUGUUGGUUCUUAACCAACUGUGCUAUUGUGUUUGUUUUUUCACGUUGUUUGUAACUUAUUGUGUACAUAAUGUUGCUGCUACCAUCUCUUAUGACCGAAAAGAGCUUCUGGACAAUCAGAACAGCGAUUACUCACCUUGAAAUGGACGAAUAAUUUUUCUUUAAUGAGUCGGGCGAGAGGGAUUUACUCCAGACACCCGACAAGGACCUCAUCCCAAUAAUUCGCAGGAGAAAGAGACAGAGAUACCGCGGAAGGAGAUUGGGGUGCCUGAUAAGUAGCUGGCAACGAGUGGCUAAUCUGCCUUUGCCAUCGGUACUAUUGGCCAACAUACAAUCACUGGAUAAUAAAGUGGACAAACUACAAGCACGUAUAUCCUACCAACGGGACAUUAAAAACUGUAAUAUCUUAUGUUUCACCGAGUCUCCUGGGUGUUCAACCACGGGGCAGGGGUUAUUCCAGUACCUCGUUGAUUGGGAGGGUUACGGCUUGGAGGAGAGGUGCUGGGUUCCCGCUAGAGACAUCCUGGUUCCAGCCCUCAUCGCCGACACCCCGGGCAACCAGUCUUCCUGGUAUUGACUCCUGCCUGACUCUGGACUACUUUCCCGCCUGCCUGAUCAGCCUGCCUGCCCUGACCUUGAAUCUGCCUGCUUUUCGGUACCUAUUGGACUCUGGUUUUGACCUUUUGCCUGUACACGACCAUUCUCUUGCCUAACCCCCUUUUUGGAUGAAUAAACAUGGUAAGACUCCAA
This is a long non-coding RNA of Oncorhynchus mykiss (rainbow trout), 928 nucleotides long. RefSeq lists it as uncharacterized. The record is from RefSeq and is a predicted model, not a curated record. NCBI's taxonomy places the organism in Eukaryota, Metazoa, Chordata, Actinopteri, Salmoniformes, Salmonidae.